UNGGAAUUACUGGGCGUAAAGCGGGCGCAGACGGUUACUUNAGCAGGAUGUGAAAUCCCCGGGCUCAACCUGGGAACUGCGUUNUGAACUGAGUGACUAGAGUGUGUCAGAGGGAGGUAGAAUUCCACGUGUAGCAGUGAAAUGCGUAGAGAUGUGGAGGAAUACCGAUGGCGAAGGCAGCCUCCUGGGAUAACACUGACGUUCAUGCCCGAAAGCGUGGGUAGCAAACAGGAUUAAAUACCCUGGUAGUCCACGCCCUAAACGAUGUCGAUUAGCUGUUGGGCAGCAUGACUGCUUAGUAGCGAAGCUAACGCGUGAAAUCGACCGCCUGGGGAGUACGGUCGCAAGAUUAAAACUCAAAGGAAUUGACGGGGACCCGCACAAGCGGUGGAUGAUGUGGAUUAAUUCGAUGCAACGCGAAGAACCUUACCUGGUCUUGACAUGUACGGAACCCUCCAGAGACGGAGGGGUGCCUUCGGGAGCCGUAACACAGGUGCUGCAUGGCUGUCGUCAGCUCGUGUCGUGAGAUGUUGGGUUAAGUCCCGCAACGAGCGCAACCCUUGUCAUUAGUUGCCAUCAUUAAGUUGGGCACUCUAAUGAGACUGCCGGUGACAAGCCGGAGGAAGGUGGGGAUGACGUCAAGUCCUCAUGGCCCUUAUGACCAGGGCUUCACACGUCAUACAAUGGUCGGUACAGAGGGUAGCCAAGCCGCGAGGUGGAGCCAAUCUCACAAAACCGAUCGUAGUCCGGAUUGCACUCUGCAACUCGAGUGCAUGAAGUCGGAAUCGCUAGUAAUCGCAGGUCAGCAUACUGCGGUGAAUACGUUCCCGGGUCUUGUACACACCGCCCGUCACACCAUGGGAGUGGGGGAUACCAGAAGUAGGUAGGGUAACCGCAAGGAGCCC
This 905-nucleotide ribosomal RNA is filed under the name uncultured bacterium. Its description in RNAcentral is "bacterial SSU rRNA". It matches the Rfam family "Bacterial small subunit ribosomal RNA", at positions 545 to 1451 of the family's 1533-position model. The record is from RNAcentral.